GAGAGAGAGAGAGAGAGAGAGAGAGAGGUGUUUGUGCAUUCACAUGUAUAUAUAUAUAUAUAUAUAUAUAUAUAUAUUUACAUGUGAAUGCACAAACACCUCUCUCUCUCUCUCUCUCUCUCUCUCA
This 127-nucleotide microRNA precursor is filed under the name Marmota monax (woodchuck). Lineage: Eukaryota; Metazoa; Chordata; Mammalia; Rodentia; Sciuridae. The record is from RNAcentral.